CCAAUUCCAUUAGGGGUUGAAAAAAUCUACCAAGAACAUGAUAAACCAGUAGCAAGACUCCUGAUAGAUUGUCAGAAAAAAAUUGCAAGAGGAGGUCGAUCGUAGAUCUUGGCGAGAGAGAUGAUGCUCACCUUGGAGAGGUCAUGGAGAUCCAUGCCAGCGCCAGCGCCAUGGCAGCAGCGGAGGGGUGCGACGGGGCGGCAUGGUUUGGGGGUAGACGAGAGGGCUCUUGCCAUCGGCGGCGACGGAGGCAGUGACCGGGAGAGAGCUAGCUAUUCAUGGCGGUGGCGAACAAGAAACAUGACAAAAAUCGGCAGAACCUCAGAGAAGUCACUCAGAAUCCCUCCAGGUCUGCAACAUCUUGAUGAACUUGAGUUGCGGUGUCGUCGAUGACCCUGACAGGACUUGCUAAUCACUAAAUCCUGCAUAACUAAUAAAUGUAAUUAAACUAUCGUGGUUUUAAUGAUUUCUUGUUGAACUCGGAUUCUUCUAGAUAAGUUUUUCAUUGGCUGAUUGUGAUCUUUCUAAAAACGUGUCCCCUGAAUAAUCUUACCAAAAUUUAGCGUUAUCAAUGUUUUAUUUACACUUUGUAAAUACAUAUUAAUACAAUACAAU
This 615-nucleotide long non-coding RNA is filed under the name Oryza brachyantha (malo sina). RNAcentral's name for it is "long non-coding RNA (OBRA_LNC003258)". Lineage: Eukaryota; Viridiplantae; Streptophyta; Magnoliopsida; Poales; Poaceae. The record is from RNAcentral.